Non-coding RNA from Microcebus murinus (gray mouse lemur), 2213 nucleotides. The record is from RefSeq and is a predicted model, not a curated record. NCBI's taxonomy places the organism in Eukaryota, Metazoa, Chordata, Mammalia, Primates, Cheirogaleidae.
AUUGGGUUUGUGUAAAUGCAGUAAAAUCCAUAACACUCCUGUAAAAUACACAGCAGAGACGAGCAGGAUCCUUUUGCUCUAGGGCUGGAAUAUAAAGUAGUUUUAGUUGCUAAGACAGAUUAAUUCUUUAGAGUCAGAAAACAGUCUUUAACCCCAGUCAUCCCAGUUUCUGCCAAAUAACUGAGAAGAUAAAUGCAUCAUUCUUCGAGGACAGAAGACAUGCUGGAAAUCAGCUAUGCCUUCUGGAGCAUGAGGCCUCCAAGUUCACAAAAGAGGGGAAGAGAGGGACUGAAGAGGCACAUUGGCUUUUCACUGCCUCAGCCUGAAGGUGACACAGAAUCUUAGAUUACUCAGAGAUGUGAUCAGUGACUCACAACAUUUCAGCCAGAGAAGAGGAGGAAGCGAGCCAUCGCCCUGGUGGCUGAUGGCAUCUUGACGGUGCCUCCCUCUCCCCUCAGCGAGAACGCCGUGAGGUCAAGUCACACUCACAGGCAUCCAUUCUACGUGGAAGCUUCUCGGGAAGCUGGCUUUACAACUUCCUUCAAUCACCUGGCCAGCUAUGUGCAUCACUCCAAGGAGAAUCCCUUUUUUAAUCCUGAGAGGAACAAAUGGAAUAUCUCGCUCUGCCCAGCAUCUGUCCCCCUGAAACAACGAUGCCAGUCCCAAGCAUUGGUGUGGCUCAGAUCUUCAGGUGAAAGGCCAGAGGGAAGAGAUUGGAGGAUUUAAAAAUGAUCUCUAGAGGUCUUUUGGAAAGUGAAGUUAUCUAUGUGGGGACCACAACAUGUGGGAUACUUUCAAUUCCCCUUGCCUGAGUACUGACCCAGGUUAAUAUUUUAUACCUAUUACCCCUUCCUUAAGAAGCUUAUAACAUCAGCUGUCCCUUCUAAGACUAGGACAUCUUUUGCUUUUGUAUAGUCGUCUUACUCUAGGUCCAAUGCCUGUGUGAACAUCUACCAAGAUAUCUCACUAUCAGUCUAAAGCAGCCGUCUCCUCACAUUGGACAUCCCUCCCCUGUCCCUAUCCUGGCAUGUGCUUCCUCACCAGGUGGCUAGAUUUCUAAAACACCUUCCUAAGGAUCCUUCUGCUUCUACCCUCUCCACCUCCACCACCUGCAGUCUAGCCAGUAACACAGUGCCACUGGGUUUCUCUUCUUGAAAUACUACCAUUAUCACGUGUCCCCUCUUCAAAAGCACUUGAUGGCUCCUCUGUUCUCAGAAACAAGCACACCCAAAACCUCUCCAAGUGGAUUUCAAGGCUGCCACAGUCUGUCUCCAGCAGAAGCACCCCCUGGUGUCUGUUCUGGGUCUGAGGACAGUAAAUUCAUCAGUCUUCUCUGUGUCAUUCAUUCCCUAUGGAGUUCGUGCUAGCUGAGAUGAACAGGACUGAUUGCUGUAGGGAAACUGAGUGGAUGGGGGACAAACUCAGAUAAACAGCAGGAAGGACACAUCAGCCACUCAUGUCCUUCAGAGCCUUCCUUCUCACCUCGUCUGUUCAGACUACUCCCAGGCAUGUGUUCUAAAUGGAAUUGAAAUCCUAUUCUGUUUAUCCUUGUUCAUAUUAGCAAAAUGUUUGGUGAGCUCUUUAUCAAGGGCUGACAGGUUGGUGCCAACCGAAGAGGCUAAGCACAUUCAUCACUGCGGCUGGGACGUGCCCCAGCCUGAAAAGACUGUGCCAACCACUUGUCAUUUCCUGGCAGCUCCCCCGUUACUCAAACCCAGCCUGCUUGUAAUUGAAAACCUCCAACUUCUGUGACCUUCAAGAGUCACAUGAAAAGACGAUUGACUGGCCACGUGCAGCUUCACGUGGCAAUUGAGUUUGAGGCUUUGUCAGAGCCAGGCUAUGACAGCUGAGCCAGCAAAAGUCUUGGGAGGAGGUCAAAUCACAGGAUCGUGAGGUCUCUCCAGCCUCCUUAUUUAAUAGGCCAGUAGAGUGAGGCUGGAGACAGUAGGGUCAGUGCCAGUUCGAGAAUUUCUAUGGAGGAUCUUACGAAUGAUACUUUGGGAGGAGCUAGAGGACUUGUUUUAACAAUGAACUUGAGAAAAAAGCAUUUUUUAAAGGUAGCUUUUUUAUUGGUAUGGCUUAUAGGGACUGGUGGAAGUAAUGCAGGGGGUUGUGGUGGUCAGGUUCUGCUGUGUAAAUCAUCGGUGUUUAUCUUUCUGCGCCCUUCCCCUGCUUUGCUCUGUAUCACAGCGACAAGCCCUGAACAUGACAUU